This 373-nucleotide RNase P RNA is filed under the name Gemmatimonadota bacterium. RNAcentral's name for it is "Gemmatimonadetes bacterium (groundwater metagenome) RNase P RNA component class A". It matches the Rfam family "Bacterial RNase P class A". Rfam says of the family: Ribonuclease P (RNase P) is a ubiquitous endoribonuclease, found in archaea, bacteria and eukarya as well as chloroplasts and mitochondria. Lineage: Bacteria; Pseudomonadati; Gemmatimonadota. The record is from RNAcentral.
GUGGCGGGCUGGAUGAUCGCGUGCGUGAGAUCGAUCGCGCUCGAGGAACGUCCGGGCUCCAUGGGCACGCUGCCAGGUAACGCCUGGGCGGCCGGGCAACCGGCCGACGGACAGGGUCACAGAAAACAGACCGCCAGCCCGAAAGGGCUGGUAAGGGUGAAACGGCGGGGUAAGAGCCCACCGCGCCGGCGGCGACGCCCGGCGGCACGACAACCCCCAGCGGGAGCAAGGCCAAGUAAGCGGCGAGAGGCGCCCACCUCGACCAAGACGCCGCGGGUCGGCUGCUGGAGUCGCCGGGUGACCGGCGACCGAGAGGAAUGAUCAUCCGGGCCUCACGGCCCGACAGAACCCGGCGUACAGGCCCGUCACGAGC